UACGUAGGGGGCAAGCGUUGUCCGGAAUCAUUGGGCGUAAAGAGCGUGUAGGCGGCUCGGUAAGUCCGCUGUGAAAGUCCAGGGCUCAACCCUGGAAUGCCGGUGGAAACUGUCGAGCUAGAGUCCGGAAGAGGCGAGUGGAAUUCCUGGUGUAGCGGUGAAAUGCGCAGAUAUCAGGAGGAACACCGGUGGCGAAGGCGGCCUUCUGGACAGUGACUGACGCUGAGACGCGAAAGCGUGGGGAGCAAACAGG
RNAcentral lists this ribosomal RNA (253 nucleotides) under uncultured bacterium. Its description in RNAcentral is "partial 16S ribosomal RNA". It matches the Rfam family "Bacterial small subunit ribosomal RNA", at positions 524 to 776 of the family's 1533-position model. The record is from RNAcentral.